GGUUAAGCUACAAAGAGCACACGGAGGAUGCCUAGGCGCCAGGAGCCGACGAAGGACGUGGCGAACAACGAUAAGGCCUCGGGGAGCUGUAAGCAAGCUUUGAUCCGGGGAUGUCCGAAUGGGGAAACCCGGCUGUCUUCAUCGACAGUCACUUUCUGCUGAAUACAUAGGCAGAAUAGAGGCAGACCAGGGGAACUGAAACAUCUAAGUACCCUGAGGAAGAGAAAACAAUAGUGAUUCCGUCAGUAGCGGCGAGCGAACGCGGAUUAGCCCAAACCAAGGAGCUUGCUCCUUGGGGUUGUGGGACGUCUCACAUGGAGUUACAAAGGAACCGGUUAGAUGAAGAGGUCUGGAAAGGCCCGCCAGAGAAGGUAAAAGCCCUGUAGUUCAAAACUUGUUCCCUCCGAGACGGAUCCCGAGUAGUGCGGGGCACGUGAAACCCCGUAUGAAUCCGGCAGGACCAUCUGCCAAGGCUAAAUACUCCCUGGCGACCGAUAGUGAAGCAGUACCGUGAGGGAAAGGUGAAAAGCACCCCGGAAGGGGAGUGAAAUAGAUCCUGAAACCGUGUGCUUACAAGAAGUCAGAGCCCGAUCUAUGGGUGAUGGCGUGCCUUUUGUAGAAUGAACCGGCGAGUUACGUUCCCGUGCAAGGUUAAGGUGAAGAGCUGAAGCCGCAGCGAAAGCGAGUCUGA
RNAcentral lists this ribosomal RNA (691 nucleotides) under Paenibacillus polymyxa. RNAcentral describes it as "partial 23S ribosomal RNA". It matches the Rfam family "Bacterial large subunit ribosomal RNA", at positions 1 to 686 of the family's 2925-position model. The record is from RNAcentral. Lineage: Bacteria; Bacillati; Bacillota; Bacilli; Caryophanales; Paenibacillaceae.